AUACUUACCUGGACGGGGUCGAUGGCUGAUCAAGAAAAGUCGUGGCCUAUGCUAGUGGUUCACAUUGCACUUGGUGGAUGCGUUGGGCCUACCUACCAUCUCCUCAAGUGGAAGAGUGGACGUCAUAAUUUGUGGUAGAGGGGGUACGCGUUCGCGCGCCCCCUGC
Molecule: small nuclear RNA, 166 nt
Organism: Triticum dicoccoides
Lineage: Eukaryota; Viridiplantae; Streptophyta; Magnoliopsida; Poales; Poaceae
Product: U1 spliceosomal RNA
Exons: 1
Source: RefSeq, a predicted model, not a curated record